AUACGUAGGGGGCGAGCGUUGUCCGGAAUGAUUGGGCGUAAAGGGCGCGUAGGCGGCGCGGUAAGUCUGGAGUGAAAGUCCUGCUUUCAAGGUGGGAAUUGCUUUGGAUACUGCCGCGCUUGAGUGCAGGAGAGGUUAUCGGAAUUCCCGGUGUAGCGGUGAAAUGCGUAGAGAUCGGGAGGAACACCAGUGGCGAAGGCGGGUAACUGGACUGCAACUGACGCUGAGGCGCGAAAGUGAGGGGAGCAAACAGGAUUAGAUACCCUGGUAGUCCACACUGUAAACGAUGAAUGCUAGGUGUAAGAGGUAUCGACCCCUUUUGCGCCGGAGUCAACACAAUAAGCAUUCCGCCUGGGGAGUACGGCCGCAAGGUUGAAACUCAAAGGAAUUGACGGGG
This 397-nucleotide ribosomal RNA is filed under the name uncultured bacterium. Its description in RNAcentral is "partial 16S ribosomal RNA". It matches the Rfam family "Bacterial small subunit ribosomal RNA", at positions 523 to 918 of the family's 1533-position model. The record is from RNAcentral.